This 164-nucleotide long non-coding RNA is filed under the name Ornithorhynchus anatinus (platypus). Its description in RNAcentral is "lncRNA (ENSOANG00000040886.1)". Lineage: Eukaryota; Metazoa; Chordata; Mammalia; Monotremata; Ornithorhynchidae. The record is from RNAcentral.
CCAGGCCCGUCCACUACCACUCCGCCAUGCUGAAGAACAUUCACAGCUGCUAAAGGUUUGACUCUUCGGAAAGCCACGUUCUGCUGGAGUGAAUCAGCCGGUGUUGAUAUCAAAUGAGGCUCCAUGAACAAAGGUAGGCUGGCAACGAGGGCAUAUCACUCCUG